Molecule: long non-coding RNA, 21336 nt
Filed under: Malus domestica (apple)
Lineage: Eukaryota; Viridiplantae; Streptophyta; Magnoliopsida; Rosales; Rosaceae
Description: long non-coding RNA (MDOM_LNC010206)
Source: RNAcentral
UAGCAGCUGAUGCAUGAGCUAACAAGGUAUAAUGAGCUGCUAUGUAUGGCUCUGUUGAGGAAUUACCCCUAGAACAAUUGACACCAAAUGGAGCUGAACAUCGCUGUGGUGGAAGAAAUCCAACAUCGUAACCCCCAAGUAUAAAAACAUUAUGCUCAUUAAUAGUAGUCCAUUGCAAAACUCUAUCCCCGAAAUUUUUGAAGCACGCAUCUGCAUAUGCAGUGAAGUCUUUUCUGCAUCCACCAAAGUGUUCCAUCAUGAUCAUCAUGGAUCCCCCAAUUCUGCAUGUCCCAUGUAAAACUGACCAAUAAAAGUUAGGAACUUACACAAUUUUUCGACUAACCCAUCCUCCAUACUCAUCAUCAAGUGCCUGCGGGAGAUCACUGUAAAGUAGCAUGUGGUUCGAUUCCUGGUUUAAACAAACAAAUUAAUUUAUUAUCAACAUUAGGAUUUGUUGAUCUCUAUAGCUACUCAAUUAUUGAUAGUAUAAGCAACGAAACUGUGGUUCAUAAUUUAGAUAGAUUGUUACCAUGGGUGAUCAGUUCAUCAAUAAGAUUGUUGUAAUAUUGUACACCCUUCGGAUUGACAGGUCCUCUUCCAUCCGAGAGAAACAAGCCGAAUAUUGAUUAAGUGCGUCAAAAGCUAAGAGCAAGAAAUCGUUACUUCUUUUGUUUAAUCUGAGUUACAAUUCGUUGAUCAUGCAUACUUGGGAUAAGUCUUGACCAUGAGAUGGAAAAUCUAUAUGCCUCCAAACCAGUAUCCACCAUUAGUUGGACAUCUUCCUGAAAUGGUUUGAAUGAACUUGAUCAUGCAUAAAUCAUAUUCCAACCAUAAUCCAUGAUAUAAUGAUGCGUAGUAUAAAACAACAGCAGCAUAUUUCUAAAUAGUAUGAUAUUGAUUUCUGCAAUACAAAAGAACUACUAGUCCUGAAUCGUCUAAACAAAAAUUGAACUGGAUCUUGCAGAGUAUAGACCUUGUAUUUGUGAUACUGAUCACACGCUACAUCUCCAGUAGCUCCAUCACAAUUACCUGAAAUUUUGGGAGUAAAGCAGUGAAUUAAUAAAGAUCUUGAUACAUGUAAGUGAUCGUGCAAGUUCAAACAAACAACAAUAUCAAAUUCAAUUAUUGUUUAGUUGGUUUUAAUUGAUAAUGAUCAAUUGUUUAACCCUCAACGAGUCAACAUAAACAUACAUUCUUUUUACUUGGUUCACAAUGAUAAGAAAUGUCACCUGGUUUCCAAUUUACUGAGAAAAUCACAUCUGAUUAGUAAAUCAAGCUUGUCAAUGGUUUUCAAUGGUCAAAUUUCAAAUGUGAAUAAUAUUUUACUUGCAAGUGUUGGGUUUUUGUUCUACUCCCUAAUUUCCUUGAUUAUUCUACCCCUAUUUUCAACUUUCAUUUUACUUAUAUUAGUACUAAAUGCUUCGCCUCCAAUGGCAAAUUGAUUGACUCGUUCAGAAGAAAUUUACACAUUAGUUUCUCAAAAAAAAUUUACACAUUAGUGAAUUUGGUAUUUUAAAAGUUUCGUAGAAGCCCUUGAUGAUUUUCUUAUUUUCAAAUGUAUUUCUCUGUCAGUGAUUUGUAUUUCAAUUAAAAGAAUACUUUUUUAUUUUUAUUUUUACCAAACGCUCUAGAAGUGAUUUUGGUAAGACCUUAAUCACUCUCAAAAAGGCUGUAACCUCUAGUUAUAUAACAAUUUUCAACUAGCCUAAACUAAUCAUACGAAAAGAUGUAUGUACUCUAACUGCGGACAGUCCAGUAGUACAGUUGUUUAAAUCUAAAAUUGUUCACCUAGUAGGUACAGCAUCCUAAAGUUGCAAUACUCUAACCUAAUCAAUUUUAUUUGGAUGCACUACAUUCACACUUGCUAACUAACUCUCUAAUAGGUGGAUCGUAUAGUUUACUGUGAGAUCCACCUGUGUUAUUUUUAUGUGUUUAAAUAUCAUUUUUCUAAUCUAGUUAAUCUAGUUAACCACACAUAGCCUCAAUAAACAAAACCAGGUCUUCACCUUUCACAAGUUAUAAAUUAGAAAUGAAAACAGUAAAUAAUUAACCACUUAGACUUAUGAUCCGUUCUUGAUUUUGUAUUUUUGUAUGAAGAUUUAAUAGUUAAAAAAUUGGAAGUAUCCCAUCAUACUCCGGAACAAGAUAAAAAAUUCAUAAUAUUAUAUGGAAAAUGUGAUAUAAAAAUAGUGGAAGCUAACCGGCAUGGGCAUAUGUGUCCAAGAUGCUUGGGGUCCUUCCGUCUUGGUCUGCAGCAUCUUCCACCUAUUCAUGUAGAAUUAGUUUUGAACCAACCCCAUUCCAUCAGUUUCUUCUCUUCUCUUUGUCAAUUGAAGCGUAGGACUAGUAAUACAUACAAAACCAUAUAUAUAUAUAUAUAUAUAGGGGCUUAUAUUAAUGUGAGAUACUAAGAUAUAUCUAAUUAAAAUUCUUAUUAUCCCAUAAUUUGUAUGCAUAUAUAUAUAUAUGCACAUAUAUGAAUACAUGUAUACAUAAAAAGAAGAACCUGAUAAGCAGAGGAGGAAGCACCAAACACGAAGCCUGGAGGGAAGUCAUCUCUGCUAUAUUUAUCAACGCAUAAAGAAAGUUUUAUGAGAAGAAAACACAGAAAAAAUGAAACUCUCAGCAUGAGUAAUAACACAAGUAUGCAGCAAGAACUCAGAAGGGAAGAAGUUUCAAAAGGCAAAAGUUACAAGGAGAUUUGAGUGGACACCCUUUAAUUUGUUAUCCGCACUUUAGAGCAAAUCGUAGACUCCAAAUCCUUCUUUAUUAUCUUUUCUAUUGUAUGGUUGUUGAGUUGACUCCAGGUCUUGUAUGAAUGGUUCGAAAUAGCCAUUGGAACUGGAUGGAUUUUACAAUCAAUUGAUCGUUGAGCGGUACACUUCAAUGCAAGAGCCACACUGGCACUGUACCCGUCAAAAUGACUUGAUUGAGCACCAGUGGGGAUUGCAACAAGGUGAAGAUAAUUAAAAGGAGUUUGUGGUGGAAGAAUAAAGUUCUUAGUUUAUUUAGUGUAUUUUUUAAAUUUUAUUUGGUGAGUUUAUGUAAUUUUAUUAAGUGUGUUUUUUUUUUUUAAGUUUAUUUGGUGAGUUUAUGUAAUUUUAUUUAGUGUGUUUUUUUUUUAAGUUUAUUUGGUGAGUUUAUGUAAUUUUAUUUAUUGUGUUUUGUUAAGUUUAUUUGGUGAAGUUUAUGUAAUUUUAUUUAGUGUGUUUUUUUUUUAAGUUUAUUUGAUGUGUUUAAAUAAAGUACUAAACAUAUUUAAGAAAUUACAUCUAGUACUACAAAUAAAUAAGAAAUUACAUAAAGUACUACAAAUAAAUAAGAAAUUACAUAAAGUACUAUAAAUAAAUAAGAAAUUAAAUAAAGUACUAAAAAUAAAGAUGAAAUUACAAGUACUAAAAAUAAAGAAGAAAUUAAGUAAAGUACUACAAAUAAAUAUGAAAUUAUACAAAGUCUGUGGAGCUAGGAUAUGUGGUGCUAGGAUCUUCGUUGGCUAGGAUCUGUGUAGCUAGAAACCCCUCGACUUGUUUCCGCGUCUCUUGCACGCCUCCUUAGCACCACGUCUCUUUUUUUCCGAUGUCCAAAAAUAUUUUGAAUUCGAAAGACAUUCCUACUAGAGGUUUGUUCAUAGUGUCACGAUCUUGCUAGAGCCAUAAUUUCUUCUCUGAGCAUCUCGUUUUCUAUUUUCUUGAUUAAGUUCUUCUCUAAUCAUCUUGUUUUCUCGAUUAAGUAUUUCUUGUUGACUCUCAGCCGCCGCAUCACGUCUCUCUUGUAGUGUCUACAAAAUGUGGGAUAAGACAAUAUUAUAAAAUGCAGGGUGUAAGACAAAUAAAUAAAUUAAAAUAUUGAUGCCGGAUGGAAUACAUAUAAAUAAAUAAAAAUAUUAUCACUUGAUCCGCUAAACUUGUCCCACUAUGCAAAUUACUGGAAAGCAAUCGAGAGAGCAUUUUUCUAACUAGUAAAGGAUAUGUUGAGUUUUUUCCAACAACCUUGAAGACUUUGACUCUUUCUGGCACCUUUUCCAAGCCUAGCGCAAAACGCUUCCGUAAUUCUACUCCACAUUACUCGCAACUCCAUCUCAUUACCCGUAAUCAGGUCAUGAGUAAUUUGAACCCAGCAUUUACAAACGAAACAUCUUCGAUGAGCUUCCACACAACCAUUUUUUUCACACAAAAAGUAUAUGAAAGCUUUGGUUGAAAGUGUUGAAAAUAUUAAAAUGUGGUGUAAGGUGGGAGAUAAGGGUUAGGUAUUUAUAGAAAAAAAUUAAUUUUUUUUAAUUUUUUUAGUAUUUGUUUAUUAAUUUUUAAUAAUUUUAAUUUAGUUAAUUAAUCUGGAUUAUUGGAUUUGAAAAAGAUUCAAAUCCAACAGCCCAAAUGUUGACACAUGGCCAACGAUCAUAAUUUUGAUCUCUUGAUCGAAUGGCUCUGAUCACGCCAUGUCACUAGCCGUUGGUUUUCAAAUUCAAUUUUUUUUACCAUUGGAAAUCCAACUGGUCCAGAAAACAAGACGUUGGAAAUCCAACGGCCUAGAACGAGCCACAUGGCUUCUACCCGUGCCCUUUGUAGUGCCUGCAAUGGCAGGCUCCACUGCCUGUUUUCAGUCCACAACACGCGCCUACGCGCACAUUGUUUCCCAUGCGCCUGAUGUAAAAAAAAAUAUCAGUGUGAUGUGACGUCACAUUGGCGUCAGCAUAACGUCACAUAGGCUAGCUGAUUGCUUCAGCAUAUUUUGGGCCGGCUUAUGACCUAGCUUGGGCUGAAGGCCAGCCUAGGAGUGUUUUGGGGGGAUGCCGGUCCAUUUUUCACACUUUGAAGCCGACCUACCCCUUGGGGUGGACUUGCUCUUAUGUAACCCCUAUUUAAUAGAUUUCAGAAUUACCCAAAUUUAUUCUUGUUGAGCUGCAUUCUGAUGAUGUGAUGGAUUACAUGAAGUAAUCCAUUUCCCACAGUUGUGACCCCAAAACUUGCUCUAUAUCCGAUCAUUUCUUUAUCUCUGUCUCUCCCCUCCUUGUCGGUGUGCACAACAACGUGCUUAACCGCAUUGGAUACCAUCUUGGGCAUUGGGCAGGGAAUAACAUUUGCCAUUGGAAUUAAUCAGGAAUUAACCAUUUGAUAACCAUUUUUAGUUUUCAGCUUUUGGUUUUACUUCUUCUGAAAAUCAAAAAUUAAAAUUUUGUUUGGUAAUUAUUUUCAUUAUUUAAUUUUAAAAAAAAAAUUGAGCAAGUAGCCCUCUUCAUCACCACAGCGUGAGUUCGAAUUUCGUCGACUCCUUAAAUUAACAUCUAAUCUUAACAAAUUUAUCGUUUAGCACAAAAAAAAAAAAGUGAAUACUUAAUCCGGCGGUCAAAUGGGUUAUUUGGUAGUUUCUCAAACUUUAAAUUCAUUAGUUUCCAAAAAAAAAAAAAAAAAAAACUUUAAAUUCAUUAUGAAUACUUAAUCCCUCUGAAGUGAGAGUAUAUCAUGUCUUAGAGAAAAAUUAGAUGAUAAAGCAAUGGCGGAUUCAAAAUUCUAAUACCACGGAAUUGCAAUGUAAAUUGUUUACAUUAUUUAAAGACCGAAAUAGCAUGCACAUCGUGUAAUUUAUUCUUUGGUAUCUUGAAUGAGGCAUGCUAUAGGUAUCUUUCAUCAGAUGUUAUGACAUUGUCAAUAUCUGUCAAAAUCUACAAAGGCAUGUCGUCGAUAUUUUUCAAUAGCUGCCACGUCGUGCUAUUGAAUCAUGUCAAGCAUCUGCCGAGUCUGCCGAGCAAACAUUUCAUUGAACGGUUGGUGGGCAUUUCUAGGUCCAAAAUCAGAUAGCCAUAUGGUUCUUAAGGACAAGGAUUGUCUGCCCUUCCACUUCCGGUGCCCUUCUGUUUUGUGUGGUCACGGUUAAGCCACGUCAACAUUUUAUAUUGUUUUUUUUUAUAGAGAUAAUAAGACAAAAAUGAAUAGUAAUAUAAAAUGUUGACGUGGCUUGAUGCAAAAAUUAUCUUAACACACAAAUUUAAUCCUCUUUUGACAAUUGUAGUACAAGUAUAAGUAGGGAUCGUUCUGGACCGGGGAUUAGGAGGGCUUGCUAAUAACCUCUAAACUGACUUAAAAACAUAAAACUAAACUUAAAAAUACUUAACAAGACUCACAAGACUCAAAGCAAACUUAAAAUACUCAAAAUAGCUUAAAACAACUAAACACUAGUACAAAAAAGACUUUACGCGACGUAGGACCGUCGUCGCUCAAAGUCAAAAAUACGUCGCCCAAAAAUUAGCCAAACGAACCUUCGUCGCACAAGAACCGUCACGCGAAGGCAGUGAAGGAAGGGUUUGUGCGACGCAUCCCCUAACUACGUCGCGCUAAGUACCUUUGCGCGACGCAGGUCCUACGUCGCGCAAAUCUACUUAGCGCAACGCUCCUAACUACGUCGCGUAAAGCUACUUUGCGCGACGUAAGACCUGCGUCGCGCAAAUGUACUUAGGGCGACGAGACUAACUACGUCGCGCGACGUAAGACCUGCGUCGCGCAAAGUAGCUGACGUAGUUAGGCUCUGCGUCGUGCAAACCUUUUUUUUUUUUUGUCAUUUAUAUUUUGUCAUUUAAUUUUUUAUAAAUAUUAUAAUUAAAUUCUGAACAAUUAUUAAUAAACCAUGAAAAAGUAAUUAAUUAUAGAAUAUAUGAAAAUGUACGUUUGUCCGAACAAAAAAAUAAAAAACUACAAGUCUUCUAAGUUUAAUACAUCAUGCUACUCGAUAUCGUCUGGGCGAAAUGGCUGGGAAGUCGAAGCUGGAGCAACAUUAGGUGCUAGCAUCGUCGGGAUUUGGAGGCCGGACAUCGCUAAGGCCUGAACAAUCAUAUUCAUCCUCUCGUCCUGGGCCUUAAUAUGGUCGCCCUAGGCCGCAACCUGACCUCUUAGGGUUGUCACUUCCUCCUUCAAGGAAUUGACCUUUCCUGUGGACAAUUUGGAAGAAGAGGCACCCGUUUCACGAACCCCCGCCUUCCCCGUACACCGAACAACCUUACCAUGACAACGACCACACUUCUGAUCCAGAACCUCAGUCAUGAUCUGAACAUCUGCAUCCUUGGGUACAAUGACGUCCUCGAUCGGGGUCUCUGGGGAAAGCUGCGAUGUUGCUUCUUGGAGAAUAGCAGUGCUCUUUUCCACCAUAUCACCCUGUAAUAAUAAAAAAAAAACAUAUAAUGUUUAAUAACAAAAUAUAAAUAAUAUUUGAACGAUUCAUAAAAAUAAGAAAAAUAACAAUUACAUAUACUUACAUAAAGUUGGUCACUGUUCUCAUUGUUGGGAUGAACAUAAACAUGCUUGAACAAGUCAAUCUGUGGGAACUUAGAACCCUCCUAAAGAAAAAAAAACAUUAAGAAAAUUUUAUUAAUCAAUAAUAAAAAAUAAAUUGUAUAAAAUUUCAAAAUUAAUAUACUUUUACCUCACGUCGUGCCUCAACCCUAUACGAAAAGGGCUUCGAACCAGAAUGGUGGAGAAGUAUCUUUGAGUCCCGAGCUUUCUUGCCAUCAACAUAUUUCUUCUGUUAAACAUACAAUAUAGAUGUUAGUGCGACUAUUUGAAAGAAAUUAUUAAAAAAAGCUUAAAUAAAAUAACAAAAACAAUAAAUUAUUAUUAACUUCAUCCAUAGCUGAGUGGGCAACCCUGUAGGCGAGCAAUCUCCGGAGAUUCCCAUAGCUGAAAAUGCUUGUGAAGAACGCUCUUCCAAUCUUUGUACCGGCUUGCUAAGGUUUCCUCUAAGUAGGCACUGACCUCAGGGGAUAUGUCCUCCAUUUCAAAAACGACCUACAAAUAUGAAAAACAAAAUGACAAACAAAAUGACCAUGUAUCAGAAUAAUUGACAACUAGUUUAUAAGGUAUUGAUAAAGUUUGUCGGUUUACAAUAAUAACUAGAAUCUUAAUUUGUUAGGAAGCAAACAAUAUAAUGUUUAUUUUCUGAAAGAUCUCAAGAGUGGGGUUCUGAUCUCCCAUGCGAGCCUCUUUCCACCGGUACAAAGACCAAAGGUGGAAAUUCAACCUUAAAUCUUCUCACCAAUACAAACUACAUCAUGGAUGAUGAUCAUAGAAAUGUGAAGGAGAGGGAAAAACAAAGGUAGGUAAGACAGGCUACCAAGAAUACAAUAAUGGUGAUUCCAUAAAAUGGUACUAAAAAUUUAAAACGCAGUCGCAUUUAUAUGUUUCUUUGCAAAAUGAUAAAUUGAAAUGGCAGGCAUUUCAUCAUAAUUAAGCUCAUCUAAAUAUUAAAUCCAAAUAUGAACCUCAACAAAGGUUUCUUCGCAACAUAAUUUGGACUUCAAACAUAAGAUGAUGGCUGCAAGGAAUAACUCUACACACCCACUUCACACUCUUUCACUGAGUCAUGAGUACACUUAUGAACACAGAAUUUUUUUCAUUUUUUUUCUUCUGUUUUAACAGAUUAAUAUUGAGAGGACAAAAUGGAUUGGAAUACAGAAGGACAAAAGCUAAUAAAUAGUGUUCUUGAUACUUACUUACUGCUUAGCAACAGCACAACUAAUAAAAAGGUUCAGCACGAUAAUACUAUCGGGAUCUCCUCAAUGACAACCCCGUUAGCGACUCCAAAACUCAGUGCAGAAACUUAAUAAUUUGUACGACAAGAUUUGUAGCCCAGGACACUAGCCAAGGUGUUUGUUCAUGUUUAAGUUUGGUAAGCUGAAUGACAACUGAUGGUUUACCAGGAAUCACUAAAGGGGGUGAACAAUAAACAAUCCCGGUAUUCUGCUUCCAACAAUUUUUCUACAUAAUCCCCUGUGUUUCAUUUCAAUCUACCAAACCAUCUACUUAGAAUAUCACCGAGAUACGAACAAGGCCAUACUAUUGACUCGCAUUUUACCAUGAAAUCAAAUCAAUAUCAUUUCACUAUCACCGACUACUGCAGAAUUGUACAUUGACAAGUGUCAAACCUUUAAUGUUCAAACCAUAAGGUUAACACUCAAAUUAUUUAUCAAAUUCCUUUCCUUAGCACAAUUUCUCAACAAAGGAUUUAACUCGACUAUUUAAGGCUGCUUUUGUAGUUCACUUUAAUAAAUAAAACCAGGACAACAACUAAAAACAAUUCACUAUCAAAUUGAGGCAAAGUCAAGAACCAUACAUAGGACUCGCUCGGUAAAAGAUCGAUUAUUUGAUUAGUAUAGCCAGUCCCAAGAAGCACUUAAUGAUUAAAACAAAACAUCAUGUAUAGGCAUAAUGUUUAGGUAUCACGAUGCUGCUCAACCAGUGGAUACUAUGGAUCAGGUUAAUUGAUGCACAACACAAGCAAAGCAAUGUACUAGAGACGGCAUGCAUACUCACCUAAACACUAUCAUAAAUCAUUAAGCAAGGACGUAGACCAAAACUAAAAACCCAUAAAUAUGCAUCAGAUAAGAUAGUAAUCCUUCCACCUAACCAACAUAAUCAUUAUUUUAACAAUGGUUCACGGAAUUGUUUUUCAAUUUCCUUCCCAGGAAGCAUUCAGACAACAAAGAACAGUGCCGCAAAUCACUGAAAUUAACCAAAACUAAAGGACCACACCUGCUCCCAAUUAUGAACAGAAGAAGAGUGUGCAAAAUACAUGACCAAAUUAUUCACCACAACAACACUCGGCUAUCAGGUGCAAAACAAUGAAAUGCACCUGAUUUCUCAUUCCCCCCUACAUUUUCUUAGCAACCAAACAGAAAUUGAGAGAAAGAUCUUGACUUUACUAAUCAAGAUGAUGGCCCUGCACUAGUUUAAGCAGAGAAAGAUGUUGACUUUGCUAAAAAUUAAUAUACUAACCUCCAAAUUGUCUCGCACCAGGGUCCUUGUCUCCUCGGGAAUUUUUGCCCAACUCUCCCACUGCAUAGGACAAAAAUUCCUAAUAAUAAAACCACAGCAAUUAACGACGCUGUUAUGCUGCUGUGAGGUAACCACUCCACGAUGUCGCUCAUCAUACGCAAUCUUGAUCAAGAAGGCAGACAUACGUACAAGCUGUAGCUCCUUCAACAUUCGAUUGGGUCCCCUGGUGUUUUUUUUAGCUGCCCAAAAAAACUUAAAUGGUAAACACCCUAAGCUUAAAUUUGUACAUAAAAUUCGGCAAAACCUCCCCUAAUCAUAAAAGUACCUUAAAACAGUAAUUCACAACCCGCAACACAUUUUCACAAUCAUAAAAGUAAUAGCAUUUCCCAAAACCUUAAAACAGUAAAAUAAUAGUAAUUCACAACCCGCAACACAUUUUCACAAUCCAGCAAAUUUUCAUCAUCAUAAAAAUAAUAGUUUUAAAAUGAAAAAAAAAAUUACAACGUAGUGAGAAUUAGAAAAAACUACCUGGUGGCUGGAAGGCCUCACCCUCAACUUUGGAUGCCGAGGAAGUCUGAUCAGAAGGCUCUGGGUCCCGGCAGCGUCGGUGAGGCCGCCGUGCACUGAGCAACUCAACGGACACUGAUGACGUCGAUGAGACGGGCACUUGGGACACCGUAGAAGUAGCCUCAACAUUGGGUGUAGGCUCCCCAAUCAAUGGAGCACUCACGGCUGGAGCAGUAGAUGCUGAUAAUGUGGGAGGCGCAUUGGUCACAGUCCGACGACGAGUAAUCAACUUCGACAUCUAUAAGUAGGAAUGAAAUGAAUCUUCUCGUUCCGCAUUAUAAUUGGAGAGUGUUAAGUAGGAAAGGUAAACCCUUUCAAUGCAAUACUUGAAAAAGAAAUAACAUGAAAAUAAAAACAAUAAUAAAAUAAAACUGAAAGAGAGAACAACAUUUAGAAUUUAGUGCCUGGGGAAAGUAAACAGCUAUAGUUCUUCAACAUCUAUGGUUAGAUAGAAUGCUUUGAUUGCAUACAUUUUACCUGUAGGAGGCCAGCUAGAUAUAUGAAAGACUUAUCCUGUAAAUAAAAUAUGAUGUUUUAGUAACCACGCCUAGCGAUAUUUCGUAUCAUUGUUCAAAUUGAAAGCACAAAGACGGAGUCAAAACAUUAAACAAACUACAGCGAACGAAAAGGAAGUUCAACCAUACACCAAGGGAAAAAAGGAACUCUUUGCUUAUAUAUAUAUAUUACCGGUCUUUAUCUUAAAUUACUUGCAGUGGGAGUCACAAUAAACAUACAUAUUAGUUAUAUUUGGUCUUCAAAUAAGCAUACAAAACCAACUCUAUCCGCAUGCAAACUUAAAGCCUCGGAUUUUCCUAAAUUGUUUCACGAACUUUUGCAACACUCGUACUACUGAAGAUCACAGGACAUAUUGUAUGUUUUCAACUAGUGUAUCCUCACUCGGUCAUAUUGUCUGCUUAAAGAAAAUCAAAUAGAUACGAGUUGCCUGCCUAUUAUUGGUGUGAUUUCAACUGUUUGACAUGAUUUACAUACAAAAAUAUGGGACCGAGGAGCAUGACUGAAAAUCAAUUGGUCAGCUAUAAGAGAAAACGAUUAUAAAUACCCCAAACUAUAGAACAUAGACCACACAAACUUUAGAACAUAGUUGUAACAUCUCAACCUCAGAACUUCCUCUCUGGACAGACUUCAGAGUGCUUUGACUCAUACUCAGAGCAAAAAGUAGUUCGGAACAAAACACGACACAAGUGUAGACAUAGAAACAAGGAGAUGAACUCCAAACAGGAAACAAUGACAAGAAUAUAUCACAGCUUCACUCGUUGCAACGUACGGGAAUCACAUAUAUCCCUAUUAAAGGUGGCCCAACGUGGCUCAAUACUUACUGCCAUCAAAUUAAAUACAUGGAAUACAAAGGUGUUAAAGAAACAAAAUUUAUCUUGUAAACUAUACCUAAAUAUGUAGGACUAUAAGCUAUUAAUUAACAUAGAUGUGGUAAUCAAGUUAAUAAGCUAGAGAGAAUACCACUAAACAAAAGAACAGAAAAACACAAAAUCACCUUUCUCCAAUAAGUAGUUUUAAUAGACAUAAUCAAGCCAUCUUAUUCACAUCGGAUUAAAGAACUUGCAAUGAUCAUAAUCACCAUGAAGCCAAUGCCAGCAAUCUCCAUAAAAAUUUGUAGAAAACUGAAAUGGUAUUAAGAAAUAAAUAACAAGCCUCAUGGCAGCAACAAUUUGCAAGUUUAGAUGGCAACUCGGCAUUCACAGCCUCUGAUUCCUAGAUUUUAAGUUGUAAAUAAGUUAUUAUAACUAUACAUUCGCUACAGAAAUCUAAAUACUUUGAAAUAAAUAUGGGAUUAUAGGAAUGGUGGGAAAAAAACAUUUGAAACUAAUGUAUUAGAGAAUUAGAGAAAUUAGGUUUCAGCGGUACAAAACCCAUCACAACCUCGUAUGCAUCUCCAACUAAAAGAAAACUAGUUAAACAAAAACCCAUCACAACCUCGUAUGCAUCUCAAAUUAAUGUAUUACAGAAUUAGAGAAAUUUGGUAACAGAUAAAUUUGUGGCAAAAACCCUAAAUAACAAAAACCCAUCGAAAAUCAGAAACCCUUACCUUGAUUUUGGGACUUGAUUCGCGUCGGCUUCGAGAUUCCCGUGGUGGCCUGUUGUUUGGGUUCAAGGUCUGGGUUCGACAACCCAAGAGGUAAGACAGGAUUUGGGGUCAACGGGGAAAGAAAUAGGGAAAGAAAGAGAGGGGGAUUUGGGGUCUAAGAGGAAAAAAAAAAAGGAGGGUUCAAGAUUUGGGAGGGAGGGUUCAAGAUCUGGGAUCUACGGGGAUAAUUGAAAAAAGAGCGCCCAUUUUUCACUGUUGUACCGUCAAAUUUAUCACAACUUGCACGACGUAGUUAUACAAUUUGACAUCGCGCAAAGUGGUUUUGCGCGACGUACGGGUCGCGCAAAGUAUUUUUUCAAAAAACAAAAUUAUUAUAAAAAUUACUGAAAAUAUGAUUUUCCUCCUUUCAAAAUUAUUUUUUUUUAAAUAAACCCCACAAAAAUAUAUUUUGCUAACAAAAACCCACAAUAAUUAUAUAUAUAUAUAUAUAUAUAUCAUUCAAUUUCUUAAGUGUUAUAAGUACAAAAUAAAUAAAUUAAAAUCUACUUUGUAAAUAUAUAUACCAUUGAACUUGAUGGGAUACGCAUUGUACGAAACUAGUUUCAAUGAUCUAACCGUCAAACUUGUCUGUAUAUACUUCGAGAUCGCAUACACCAAAAAUUGCAAAAAAACAAACAUAUAGAGAUUAAGUAACGGGACAAAACAUUUCAACGGAUAUAAACGAAAAAUCACGAUUUAACGGUUAAUUUAACUCCGAUUUUGAUGAAUUUUUACAGCCACACUCUUUAACCCUAUAUCAAUACAAUCAACUAAUUCGAUCGUCAAUUUAAAACAUUGACACAAGUGGAUACCACAAAAUCUUAUGUUAUACUUAAUGAAAGUAAAAUAAACUUUCAAGUGUUAGUGAAUCUAAUGUUUUGAUGGGAUACGCAUUGUACGAAACUAGUUUCAACGAUCCAACCGUCAAACUUGUUUGUAUAUGCUUCGAGAUCGUAUACGCCAAAAAUUGUAAAAAAAAAAUUUAGAGAUCAAGUAAUGGGACAAAACAUUUCAACGGAUAUAAACGAAAAAUCACGAUUUAACGGUUAUUUUAACUCUGAUCUUGAUGAUUUUUUAUAGCUACGCUCUUUAACCUUAUAUGCAUACAAUCAACCAAUCCGAUCAUCAAUGUGAAACAUUGACACAAGUGGAUACCAUAAAAUCUUAUGUUAUACUUAAUGAAAGUACAAGUGUUAGUGAAUCUAAUGUUUUGAUGGGAUACGCAUUGUACGAAACUAGUUUCAACGAUCAAACCGUCAAACUUGUUUGUAUAUGCUUCGAGAUCGUAUACGCCAAAAAUCGUAAAAAAAAAACAUUCAGAGAUCAAGUAAUGGGACAAAACAUUUCAACGGAUAUAAACGAAAAAUCACGAUUUAACGGUUAUUUUAACUCCGAUUUUGAUGAUUUUUUACAACUACGCUCUUUUACCCUAUAUGAAUACAAUCAACCAAUCUGAUCGUCAAUUUAAAACAUUGACACAAGUGGAUACCACAAAUCUUAUGUUAUACUUGAUGAAAGUAUAAAUAAACUUCAAGUGUUAGUGAAUCUAAUGUUUUGAUGGGAUACGCAUUGUACGAAACUAGUUUCAACGAUCCAACCGUCAAACUUGUUUUUAUAUGCUUCGAGAUCGUAUACGCCAAAAAUCGAAAAAAAAAAUUCAGAGAUCAAGUAAUGGGACAAAACAUUUCAACGGAUAUAAACGAAAAAGCACUAUUUAACGGUUAUUGUAACUCCGAUCUUGAUGAUUUUUUAUAGCUACGCUCUUUAACCUUAUAUGCAUACAAUCAACCAAUCCGAUCGUCAAUUUGAAACAUUGACACAAGUGGAUACCAUAAAAUCUUAUGUUAUACUUAAUGAAAGUAUAAAUAAACUUGAAGUGUUAGUGAAUCUAAUGUUUUGAUGGGAUACGCAUUGUACGAAACUAGUUUCAACGAUCAAACCGUCAAACUUGUUUGUAUAUGCUUCGAGAUCGUAUACGCCAAAAAUCGUAAAAAAAAAACAUUUAGAGAUCAAGUAACGGGAUAAAAUAUUUCGACGGCUAUAAACGAAAAAUCACGAUUUAACGGUUAAUUUAACCCCGAUUUUGAUGAUUUUUUACAACUACACUCUUUAACCCUAUAUGAAUACAAUGAACUAAUUUGAUCGUCAAUUUCAAAUAUUUACACAAGUGGAUACCACAAAAGAAAAAUGCAAUACAAGAACCCCAAAAGAAAAGCAAAAGGGGACAAAAAAAAUAAAAAACAAAAAGAAGACUUUGCGCGACGUAGGUACUCAUACGUCGCGCAAAACAUCUUUGCGCGACGCAAUCAUACCUACGUCGCGCAAAGUCUUCUUUAUUUUUAAUUUUUUAAUUUUUUAUUAUAUGGAGAUUAAAUCUCUACCUUUCAUUUCUACCACUGACUCUCGCCUCCUUUCUCGACUUGUCCAGGAUCCAUCCUUCUCUCUUAAGAUGGAUCCAUCCUUUCUCAAGAUGAGACUCUCGCCUGCCACCGCUUCCUCAGGACCUACUCCACCGCGCACUCCUCCUCUCGUUGAAGCUAUGGUGGUCUUCAUCGGCGCUACCACUACGGUGCCACGACUCGAUCCCGACUAUCAAGUCAACUCGCCCGUUCGACGACGACGGUUACCUGGGCUACGACCCCCGACUCUUCUCCCAGCGAUUCGAAUCCUUCGUCGACUCCGAGUCGCUCAAGGACUCCGCCACUGAUUCCCCAAUAUUCCACGGCUCCGCCACAGACGACGCUUUCGCUACUCAGCCGGCGUCUGAGGCCUUCUCUCCUCCCUCGAUCUACGACAAAUCGAACAGCCAGGGUUGGAUGACCGUCAUCUCCCCCUUCUUCCCCUUCCUGAUUGGUGUUGCUCGAGGCGUAUGGAUAAACGUCAUUUAGAAUAUUCAUAACUUGUUCAUUAGGAUCCACAUUAGAUUCAACAGUUUCUUAAGCUGUGCUCAGGGUCCUCUUCACCUGGAGGUUCGACAUUUGAAGAUUGCUACAACUCAUCUGAAUGACUGACUUUCUUCCUUCUUAAGGGAUAUACUUCUGUAGCGUUUUGUGAGAUGCUCCAGUUCCAGCAACAGUUUUUUGCUGAGUUCAACGUCUAUCAACAACGGACACUUAGGCAACAAUAGCAUAAUGGCAACAUAACCUCAAAGCCAAAUCAAAUCAAUGGGAUAUAGAAACUGAUGGUUUGGUAUAUCUAAUUUCUUAUCUAUUUCAGCGGACAAUUUUUUGUUUUUUAUAUUUUACAGUAAAGAAUCAUGGUUUUAAGAUCAAACAAACUAAAGUUCAAACAAACUUCAACAUCAAAAUGCCUUAUGACAUUACUUUAGUACAAUCCAGUUGAAAAAGUUAUGGUUACCAUACUAAAACUGAAGUUCAAAUAACGUCAACAUAUAAAUGUCUAAUGGACAUCAAAACGCCUUAUAAGCCUAUGUACGAACAAAUAAGUCGCUACAGAAAGAAGAGAUCUGGUGUAGAGAAAAAGAAAAUCAGCAAAAUAGUUAUCUCCUUUGAUUUUGCAAUUUCAAUUUCGUAAAUGAAUCACAUGAAGGAUCUACAUAUUAUUAAUUCAGUUUACAUCAUGUUUAAGAGCAAAGGGGAAGGAUUGCAAUCGAAAAAACACAAAGAAUUUAUAUCAAUUCAAACUUCAAACCUGAUCUGGUAGACGGUUUUGAAGAGAGAGAUGGACGAUUGAGGUAGCUGCUGCAACUGGAUAUGCAGUUUCUGCCUCCCAAACUGAUCAAAUGAAAAAAAAAAAGUUGUUGACUUUGCGCGACGCAUGCCCACCUACGUCACGCAAAACAACUUUGCACGACGUAGGUGGGCAUGCGUCGCACAAAGUUGGGAAAAAGCGGUAAAUUCUUUUGGUUUGGCGCCAAAAUUUUGCGCGACGAAGGACGGCGUCGCGCAAAAUGUCUUUGUGCUACGCCGUCCUUCGUCGUGCAAAAUUACGUCGCGCAAACGUGUUUUUGUACUAGUGAAAUAAACUUAAACUAGACACUAGGAAUGACUUUGGACGAAAAUUGACUUUUACUCGAAUCAAAACAUUUAAAAACACAAAUUAAAACAGAUUCUAACUAAUUAGACACACUAAAGUAAAGGGGGAUUGAGUUUUGGAUGAAGUUGAAACAAACAAACAAGUAUGAAAAACUAGACAAAUUGUAAAACAAAUUUGAGAAAUAAGAUGAUGGAUGAGAUAGCUAGAGGCAUUUUCUCCACACAUGAUAUGUAUGCAAACAACUCGAUUUCCAGUUACUACUUCAUUGAAUUAUGAAUGACAAUGCCCCAAAUUAACCGUGACAUCACUAGUUAACUCUCAGAUUUUCCUUGUUUUAUUGGAUUGGAUGACAUCAUUCAACAACCCAAAACAUUCUUCAAAAGUUCCAUACAUGACAUCAUAAUAGAGAUACUAUCAAAGAUCAUUACGUUUAAUGAAAAUCAUAAGCAUUGACAAAGCACUUGCAACUAUGACAUCAUGUCACUCAUGCUAGGAAUUGAACUUAACGCGAUCGUUUAUAAGCGACCUUCACUACAUGUGAAUAUAAGUUUGUAACGAUUAUGUGAAACUUCCUUAUAUUCUAGCAACGGAUUUAUGCAUGCCAAUUAAGUGUCGACCCUUAAUUAACAAAUACAAAUAAGUUAUCAAUCAAAUAGUUAAGCCAAUUGCAUUCACGAUUCAAGAGUUCAUAACUGGAAUUUAUCAAAUUAUAUUGCACACAUAAUCAUGGCUUUGAAAUCACCCCUAGCCAAAAGGGGUUUAGCCAUUCAUAUUUACAACAAAACGAAAGGAAAUGAAUUUAAACAUUAAAAACAAAAGAAAGAAAACAUCUAAACGCUCCAACGAUCCAAGUUGGACAGCAAACACGUCCAAGCACUUUCCUUCCCUUCCUUUGCUACGGCACAAGGUGUUGGUGAGUGUUUGAAGGUUUGUUCGUAUGGAGGAAUGGAUGUGAAGAUGAAUGGAUGUGUUUGGAUGAAGGUUGUGUUGAAAUGGGAGUGAAUGAUCUAACCAAGUAUGAACUAAAUUUAUGUUACACACACUUCCUUUCAUAGAGGAAGUGCAUGGAAAUGGAGGGGAACAUGGAGUGGUGUAGCAAUUGAGUGCAAUGAUUCAAUGUCAUGCAUGAAAUCUGAAAUGAUGGAGGGAACAAGGAAUGGUGAAAUCUGAAAUGAUGGAGGGAACAAGGAAUGGUGUAGCAAUUGAGUGCAAUGAGUGGUGUUUGAAAUGAUUCAAAGGUGAAAGUGAAGUGAUGAUGCAAAGCAUGGGGGUAAAAUGGAGUGGUGUUGCAAUUGAGUGCAAUGAUUCAAUGUAAUGAUGCAUGAAAUCUGAAAUGAUGGAGGGAACAAGGAAUGGUGUAGCAAUUGAGUGCAAUGAUUCAAUGUAAUGAUGCAUGAAAUUUGAAAUGAUAGAGGGAACAAAGAAUGGUGUAGCAAUUGAGUGCAAUGAGUAGUGUCUGAAAUGAUUCAAAGGUGAAAGUGAAGUGAUGAUGCAAAACAUAGGGGUCCAAAGGGAGUGCAAUGGUGGUGCACGGCAAUGAUGGAAAGGUGAAUGGUGGAGUGACACCCCUUUGUGGUUGAGCUCUUUGUGCUUUUUACAUUAAUUCUUCCUUCUCCUUAACACAUUCCUAGCCUCUUUAGUCUUCAAUUUCGUCCAUCCACCUUGCUCCAUGCAUGUGCUAUUCAUUCCAAGCCCAAAACUGCUCCAAAAUGCACCAAAAUGCAUCUUAUUGCUUCAUAAGGCCUAUGGACCUACAAACACACAAAAAUAGCUUAAAAUACAUAAUUAACUAAGAAAUAACAACAUAAAUGCAUGAGAACAAGCUAACUCAGUCGCAUAAAUAUGCUCCUAUCAUGGCUUAACCAUGACCACACAAACAGGAGGGCACGGGAGGGCACCGGAAGUGGGAAGGCAGACAAUCCUUGUCCCGUUCUUAGAGGACCUUUCCAGCUCCGUACGGUCCCGGACCCAAUAGGUCUCCUAAUGGAUCCACACUUGGGUCAAAGAAGCAUUUUAAUGUUUUAAUCUUAACUCUUGAUAUCAAAUCCAAGGAUACAUGAACAUAAAUUCUUAGUCACUUGAUUAACAAGAGAACAAGACUAAUAGUUAUUUAAAAUACUUCAAGUGGCGAUUACAUUUCCGAAGAAUGUAAAAAAGAAGUGAAGGUUACAUAACUUAAGAAUUAUAACAAAACAUAUGGGAAUGUAAACAUGUUCAUUUUAGAAUAUAACUGUGUAUAAUGAAAUCUACUGAAUGUCGUAACCAUUGGAAAUGGAUGUAAGAACUUCAUCAAAGUUGAUGACAUUUUUUCUCUUUAGAAAAUGAGAGUACCAAUGAGCAGAGAGUUUAGGUUGUCUUUUCAAAUCAGGGUCUUCCAAAUCCACGUAGUAUAGGCCGUAGCUCGAUUCAUAGCCGUCUAACAGUUCAAGAGAAUCCAAGAAGGACCAUGUUAAAUAACCUCUUGAGUUUGAUCCAUUCCUUCCAAAGUAAAAUAGGAUAAUUAGUAUUUUAGACGUAGUAUUUCCUAUGGUGAAAAAUAUAUCUAGCUUGACUAUCCCUAUAUUUACAUAAACACUUGCAUUAAACAUUUUCAUUUGGACUCGUCCAGUUAGCUUUGCAACAUGGAGAGGUCACAAGAUAAAUCAUAUAUACCUUAUAGCUUCAAGCAAAGAUUGGAUGUGCCCUUGCAAAAAUUUCACCCGCCCCAGUCCUCCAAAGAUGAAUCGCGUCGAGUCCGUUGACCUAAUGUUUAAUACAGAUAAAGAAGGAAAAUGAUAAGCAGAUAAUGGAAACUACUGCAUGGAAAGAGCCAAAAGUUAAGCUCUAGUACCAGGAAAUAUAAUGUAGAGUUUGAAGCAAAAUACACGCAACGCAUGCAUGGUCAGUAGUUAUGGGGAAAUCUUAAAUAAAACUUAUUUGAGAGUCUCUCAAUCGAAGCUCCCUCUAUAUAUCUACUUUUCCCUAUCAUGUUAUACAACACUACACAUUCAAAUAGAACUGCUUGGCUUAAAAUUUAAACCCCUGUACUAUCCAUUUACAGAAAAAAAAAAAUCACCACAUGGAUGAUGCAGAGAGAUACUUUCCACGCAACAAAAAAACCGAGAGAGAGAGAGAUACCAUUUUCAUGGAUAUAUAUAGGAGGAUUGCCAUAAUUUUCCUUGAUAUAUUCCAACAGUUCUUGCAGGCCCCAGGGAGAUAUUACAUACUGAUUCAAACAACACGAUCACUAGUGCUCUGAAAUUAAUCCAUAAGUAGUAUUGAGCCGGUUCUACUUUAUAUUAUGUUCAAGAUUUUACCUCAUAUGUUGUUGUACUAUUGCCCAGUGCUCCAAAUGGAAUUAAACAAACUUUUGUAAGCUCAAAGGAUUGCAGCUAAGCAUCUAAACAAGAAUAAACUCUCAUAAGUUCACGAACUAGGUGUUAGACAAGAGUCCACAGUACAAUGUAUCAGUAAUUAUCUUAAAAUAUUCUCUAUGUAAUUUACCACGUAUAGGACUCUUGUUGUUAAUGUAUUAUAAAACUUGUAUACGUUGAUGAAUGAAAGCAAACAAUUCCAACAUUUCCUCUACCUGUCAAUUAUUUUUUCACACAUUUCAUCGACUGAAUUAUUAAUGACAUGUCAUGGACACAUCGGUCAUUAAACUAAGGAGCGGACAUCAUGCAGAAAGAAUUUCACUACAUACGUAUAUAAAGGUCGUACCCAGUGCACAAGGCUCCCGCUUUACGCAGGGUCUGGGAGAGGUGAAUGUCGGCUAGCCUUACCCCCAUUUAUGGAGAGGCUGCUCCCAAGUCUCGAACCCGAGACCUACCGCUCAUGGGCGAAGGCACUUGCCAUCGCACCAAGUGCGACCUCUUCACUACAUACGUAUAUGUAUAAGAAAAAACUUACGCAAUAUCUUUAUUGCUGAGUCUGCCAUAAAGUCUCUGGUUUCCAUCUUUAAAGUGCUGGAGUAGUCCUUGAUGUUUGAUAUGUUAUAAUAAUUCAAUCCAAUGAAGUCAAAUGAACCCCUGACAAUUCGGGACUCAAGACUAGUAAAAACAGGAAUUCUAGAGCCUACUAUCUUUUUCAUUACAUCAGGGUAAUCUCCAAACACCAAGGGAUUCAAAACCCUACAAAAGGAAACACACGCAUUGGAAUUACAGGUACCUAAAACGGCAUUAUGUUUUGGACAAGUGAGAAAUAUAUAUAGAUGAAAAGAUGAGUACUCAACAUCUGACUUACCAACCAAAGUAGAAGUCCAUGGCUCUUUGGGUGGCAAGUUCAUCUUCAAUAGUUUUUGUUAGAGGAACAAACCAAUAGGCAAAAACAUUGAUUCCUAUAUAUCCAUGCUGCUUGUCCUGCAUAUCUCAAAAAUUUCUCUGAUCAACCUAUAUUUUUGUUUCAUGAAAAGUCUAAGUUUAUAUGGGAACCUCAUGUUACAUUAUUACUAGUAUUGGAACCUCAUGUUACAUUAUUACUAGUAUUGAUAUGUAACUUGCUAUAAAUAGAAAGGGGUGUUGGUAUUUUGUUUUAUGAGUUUGAGAAAUCAUGUUUUAAGGGAAUUUGACGUGCGUCUAACUUAUGAGUGUUUUUAUUGUGUACUACUGAUUAUCACAAAGAUAAAAGUUCUCAAAGCCCUUGACAGCGAAGAGUUUGAGAAUUACCUGGUACAUUUUCUUGUACAAUCUAGCAGCUGAUGCAUGAGCUAACAAGGUAUAAUGAGCUGCCAUGUAUGGCUCUGUUGAGGAAUUACCCCUAGAACAAUUGACACCAAAUGGAGCAGAACAUCGCUGUGGUGGAAGAAAUCCAAAAUCGUAACCCGCAAGUAUAAAAAUAUUAGGCUCAUUCAUAGUAGUCCAAUGCAAAACUCUAUCCCCGAAAUUUUUGAAGCACGCAUCUGCAUAUGUAGUGAAGUCUUUUCUGCAUCCACAAAAG